RNAcentral lists this ribosomal RNA (440 nucleotides) under uncultured bacterium. Its description in RNAcentral is "partial 16S ribosomal RNA". It matches the Rfam family "Bacterial small subunit ribosomal RNA", at positions 338 to 795 of the family's 1533-position model. The record is from RNAcentral.
CCUACGGGAGGCAGCAGUAGGGAAUAUUGCUCAAUGGGGGAAACCCUGAAGCAGCAACGCCGCGUGGAGGAUGAAGGUUUUCGGAUUGUUAACCCCUUUUGUUAGAGAAGAUAAUGACGGUAUCUAACGAAUAAGCACCGGCUAACUCCGUGCCAGCAGCCGCGGUAAUACGGAGGGUGCAAGCGUUACUCGGAAUCACUGGGCGUAAAGAGCGCGUAGGCGGGAUAGCAAGUCAGAUGUGAAAUCCUAUGGCUUAACCAUAGAACUGCAUUUGAAACUGUUAUUCUAGAGUAUGGGAGAGGUAGGUGGAAUGCUUGGUGUAGGGGUAAAAUCCGUAGAGAUCAAGAGGAAUACUCAUUGCGAAGGCGACCUGCUAGAACAUAACUGACGCUGAUGCGCGAAAGCGUGGGGAGCAAACAGGAUUAGAUACCCCUGUAGUC